GAGUUUGAUCCUGGCUCACUAUUGAACGCUGGCGGCAUGCCUAACACAUGCAAGUCGAACGGUAACGCGGAGAGCUUGCUCUUUGGCGACGAGUGGCGGACGGGUGAGUAACACUUAGGAACCUGCCCAGUAGUGGGGGACAACAUUCGGAAACGGAUGCUAAUACCGCAUACGCACUACGGUGGAAAGCGGGGGAUCUUCGGACCUCGCGCUAUUGGAUGAGCCUAAGUCGGAUUAGCUUGUUGGUGAGGUAAAAGCUCACCAAGGCGACGAUCCGUAGCUGGUCUGAGAGGACGAUCAGCCACACUGGGACUGAGACACGGCCCAGACUCCUACGGGAGGCAGCAGUGGGGAAUAUUGGACAAUGGGCGCAAGCCUGAUCCAGCAAUGUCGCGUGUGUGAAGAAGGCCUGCGGGUUGUAAAGCACUUUCAGUAGAGAAGAAAAGCCUAGGGUUAAUACCCCUGAGUCUUGACGUAACCUACAGAAGAUGCACCGGCUUAACUCCGUGCCAGCAGCCGCGGUAAUACGGAGGGUGCAAGCGUUUAAUCGGAAUUUACUGGGCGUAAAGCGCGCGUUAGGCGGUUUUUGUAAGUCGGAU
Molecule: ribosomal RNA, 599 nt
Filed under: uncultured Ectothiorhodospiraceae bacterium
Lineage: Bacteria; Pseudomonadati; Pseudomonadota; Gammaproteobacteria; Chromatiales; Ectothiorhodospiraceae
Description: bacterial SSU rRNA
Rfam family: Bacterial small subunit ribosomal RNA
Source: RNAcentral